AACAGGAUUAGAUACCCUGGUAGUCCACGCCCUAAACGAUGCCUACUAGUUGUCGGGUCUUAAUUGACUUGGUAACGCAGCUAACGCGUGAAGUAGACCGCCUGGGGAGUACGGUCGCAAGAUUAAAACUCAAAGGAAUUGACGGGGACCCGCACAAGCGGUGGAUGAUGUGGAUUAAUUCGAUGCAACGCGAAAAACCUUACCUACCCUUGACAUGGUCGGAAUCCCUGAGAGAUUGGGGAGUGCUCGAAAGAGAACCGAUACACAGGUGCUGCAUGGCUGUCGUCAGCUCGUGUCGUGAGAUGUUGGGUUAAGUCCCGCAACGAGCGCAACCCUUGUCAUUAGUUGCUACGAAAGGGCACUCUAAUGAGACUGCCGGUGACAAACCGGAGGAAGGUGGGGAUGACGUCAAGUCCUCAUGGCCCUUAUGGGUAGGGCUUCACACGUCAUACAAUGGUGCAUACAGAGGGCUGCCAACCCGCGAGGGGGAGCUAAUCCCAGAAAGUGCAUCGUAGUCCGGAUUGUAGUCUGCAACUCGACUACAUGAAGUUGGAAUCGCUAGUAAUCGCGGAUCAGCAUGUCGCGGUGAAUACGUUCCCGGGUCUUGUACACACCGCCCGUCACACCAUGGGAGCGGGUUUUACCAGAAGUAGGUAGCUUAACCGCAAGGAGGGCGCUUACCACGGUAGGAUUCGUGACUGGGGUGAAGUCGUAACAAGGUAACC
RNAcentral lists this ribosomal RNA (725 nucleotides) under uncultured bacterium. RNAcentral describes it as "bacterial SSU rRNA". It matches the Rfam family "Bacterial small subunit ribosomal RNA", at positions 771 to 1501 of the family's 1533-position model. The record is from RNAcentral.